This 467-nucleotide ribosomal RNA is filed under the name uncultured bacterium. RNAcentral describes it as "partial 16S ribosomal RNA". It matches the Rfam family "Bacterial small subunit ribosomal RNA", at positions 355 to 813 of the family's 1533-position model. The record is from RNAcentral.
UGGGGAAUUUUGGACGAAUUGGGCGAAAGCCUGAUCCAGCAAUGCCGCGUGUGUGAAGAAGGCCUUCGGGUUGUAAAGCACUUUUGUCCGGAAAGAAAUCCUUGGCUCUAAUACAGUCGGGGGAUGACGGUACCGGAAGAAUAAGCACCGGCUAACUACGUGCCAGCAGCCGCGGUAAUACGUAGGGUGCAAGCGUUAAUCGGAAUUACUGGGCGUAAAGCGUGCGCAGGCGGUUUGCUAAGACCGAUGUGAAAUCCCCGGGCGUCAACCUGGGAACUGCAUUGGUGACUGGCAGGCUAGAGUAUGGCAGAGGGGGGUGAGAAUUCCACGUGUAGCAGUGAAAUGCGUAGAGAUGUGGAGGAAUACCGAUGGCGAAGGCAGCCCCUGGCAAGUACUGACGCUCAUGCACGAAAGCGUGGGGAGCAAACNGGAUUAAUNCCCUGGUAGUCCACGCCCUAAANGAUGUC